CGGGGCGUAGCGCAGCCUGGUAGCGCGUUCGGUUCGGGACCGAAAGGACGGAGGUUCAAAUCCUCUCGCCCCGA
Molecule: transfer RNA, 74 nt
Filed under: Myxococcota bacterium
Lineage: Bacteria; Pseudomonadati; Myxococcota
Description: tRNA-Pro
Rfam family: tRNA
About the family: Transfer RNA (tRNA) molecules are approximately 80 nucleotides in length. Their secondary structure includes four short double-helical elements and three loops (D, anti-codon, and T loops).
Source: RNAcentral